GCGCCUGUAGCUCAGCCGGAUAGAGCAACGGCCUUCUAAGCCGUGGGCCGGGGGUUCGAAUCCCUCCAGGCGCGCCA
Molecule: transfer RNA, 77 nt
Filed under: Clostridiales bacterium
Lineage: Bacteria; Bacillati; Bacillota; Clostridia; Eubacteriales
Description: tRNA-Arg
Rfam family: tRNA
About the family: Transfer RNA (tRNA) molecules are approximately 80 nucleotides in length. Their secondary structure includes four short double-helical elements and three loops (D, anti-codon, and T loops). Further hydrogen bonds mediate the characteristic L-shaped molecular structure. tRNAs have two regions of fundamental functional importance: the anti-codon, which is responsible for specific mRNA codon recognition, and the 3' end, to which the tRNAs corresponding amino acid is attached (by aminoacyl-tRNA synthetases). tRNAs cope with the degeneracy of the genetic code in two manners: having more than one tRNA (with a specific anti-codon) for a particular amino acid; and 'wobble' base-pairing, i.e. permitting non-standard base-pairing at the 3rd anti-codon position.
Source: RNAcentral